This 742-nucleotide ribosomal RNA is filed under the name uncultured bacterium. Its description in RNAcentral is "bacterial SSU rRNA". It matches the Rfam family "Bacterial small subunit ribosomal RNA", at positions 64 to 773 of the family's 1533-position model. The record is from RNAcentral.
GAACGAAAAGAGGGAAAGAGCUUGCUCUUUCCGGAAUUGAGUGGCAAACGGGUGAGUAACACGUAAACAACCUGCCUUCAGGAUGGGGAUAACAGACGGAAACGACUGCUAAUACCGAAUAAGUUCCAAGAGCCGCAUGGCCCAUGGAAGAAAAGGUGGCCUCUACCUGUAAGCUAUCGCCUGAAGAGGGGUUUGCGUCUGAUUAGCUGGUUGGAGGGGUAACGGCCCACCAAGGCGACGAUCAGUAGCCGGUCUGAGAGGAUGAACGGCCACACAGGAACUGAGACACGGUCCAGACUCCUACGGGAGGCAGCAGUGGGGAAUCUUCCGCAAUGGGCGAAAGCCUGACGGAGCAACGCCGCGUGAGUGAUGACGGCCUUCGGGUUGUAAAACUCUGUGAUCCGGGACGAAAAGGCAGAGUGCGAAGAACAAACUGCAUUGACGGUACCGGAAAAGCAAGCCACGGCUAACUACGUGCCAGCAGCCGCGGUAAUACGUAGGUGGCAAGCGUUGUCCGGAAUUAUUGGGCGUAAAGCGCGCGCAGGCGGCUUCCCAAGUCCCUCUUAAAAGUGCGGGGCUUAACCCCGUGAUGGGAAGGAAACUGGGAAGCUGGAGUAUCGGAGAGGAAAGUGGAAUUCCUAGUGUAGCGGUGAAAUGCGUAGAGAUUAGGAAGAACACCGGUGGCGAAGGCGACUUUCUGGACGAAAACUGACGCUGAGGCGCGAAAGCGUGGGGAGCAAAC